UUCUGGUCGGUAUAGCAUUAGUCCGGGGAACAAAUGAUUUUACACUUGCUCAAAUACCAAAAAUUCAGAUAUUUCUACGUCUUUUUCGGUUUUAGUUGACAAAUUCGGGAUAGAAUUGACAAUCUUAUGAAUGUUUACAUUAAUGUAAUUUUUUUUUCGGAUAAAAUCGUUUUUCAAAAAUACUAUAACAAACUUUGAUAACGUGUCCUGUAAAGUUUACC
This 221-nucleotide long non-coding RNA is filed under the name Mytilus galloprovincialis (Mediterranean mussel). The record is from RNAcentral. Lineage: Eukaryota; Metazoa; Mollusca; Bivalvia; Mytilida; Mytilidae.